GGAAUAUUGCACAAUGGGCGAAAGCCUGAUGCAGCGACGCCGCGUGAGUGAUGAAGUAUUUCGGUAUGUAAAGCUCUAUCAGCAGGGAAGAUAAUGACGGUACCUGACUAAGAAGCACCGGCUAAAUACGUGCCAGCAGCCGCGGUAAUACGUAUGGUGCAAGCGUUAUCCGGAUUUACUGGGUGUAAAGGGAGCGUAGGCGGUCUUGCAAGUCUGAUGUGAAAGCCCGGGGCUCAACCGCGGGAUUGCAUUGGAAACUGUAGGACUUGAGUAUCGGAGAGGUAAGUGGAAUUCCUAGUGUAGCGGUGAAAUGCGUAGAUAUUAGGAGGAACACCAGUGGCGAAGGCGGCUUACUGGACUAUAACUGACGCUGAGGCUCGAAAGCGUGGGGAGCAAACA
This 399-nucleotide ribosomal RNA is filed under the name uncultured bacterium. Its description in RNAcentral is "bacterial SSU rRNA". It matches the Rfam family "Bacterial small subunit ribosomal RNA", at positions 358 to 774 of the family's 1533-position model. The record is from RNAcentral.